CCUACGGGUGGCUGCAGUGGGGAAUAUUGGACAAUGGGCGGAAGCCUGAUCCAGCAAUACCGCGUGUGUGAAGAAGGCCUGAGGGUUGUAAAGCACUUUCAAUAGGAAGGAAUACCUAUCCAUUAAUACUGGGUAGACUGACAUUACCUAUACAAGAAGCACCGGCUAACUCCGUGCCAGCAGCCGCGGUAAUACGGAGGGUGCAAGCGUUAAUCGGAAGCGCGGGGCGUAGAGCGUUUAAGUCAGGUGUGAAAGCCCCGGGCUUAACCUGGGAAUGGCAUUUGAUACUGGCGAGCUAGAGUUGAGUAGAGGGGAGUGGAAUUUCAGGUGUAGCGGUGAAAUGCGUAGAGAUCUGAAGGAACACCAGUGGCGAAGGCGACUCCCUGGACUCAAACUGACGCUGAGGUACGAAAGCGUGGGUAGCAAACAGGAUUAGAUACCCUAGUAGUC
This 450-nucleotide ribosomal RNA is filed under the name uncultured bacterium. RNAcentral describes it as "partial 16S ribosomal RNA". It matches the Rfam family "Bacterial small subunit ribosomal RNA", at positions 338 to 795 of the family's 1533-position model. The record is from RNAcentral.